Long non-coding RNA from Myotis davidii, 1287 nucleotides. RefSeq lists it as uncharacterized. The transcript is spliced from 5 exons. Lineage: Eukaryota; Metazoa; Chordata; Mammalia; Chiroptera; Vespertilionidae. The record is from RefSeq and is a predicted model, not a curated record.
AAACUGUUAAUACUUAUAGAAUCAAUUACAUGAAAUGAGAACUUUCUCAUAAAUCAAUCUCCUUUUCUAGUAGGGCUCCAAUAAUUUGAAAUAGUGCUAACAGUAUAAAUGUUUUGUGACUUUGGUAAGUUUCUUAAGGUGUUCUCAAUUUGAUUAGCUAAUGGUCUUACAAUGAUUACAGUAAAAUUCCAAGAUCUUAUAGUCACAGUGCCUUACACAUCUGUAUACUGUACUUUUCAAAUCUUCCUUUGGCCCUCUCCUAGUUAUACUUGGUAAGCCUGCCUAUUCCAUGUUUCUACUAUGCAUUUCCAACAGACACUUCAAAUUUCUUGCCGUCUACUGUUUUUCAUUCUCACCUACCUUACAGUUUUCUUCACUCUUCUCCUACUCACUUUGUUACACGUAUACAAUCAUGUUUUACUUAGUCUUCUGUUUUUAUCCGCUAUUUCAGGUGUUAUUUUCCCCACUGCACACUAUGCAUAACUCAACUGAAAUUAUUUGCUUCUGAGAUUACCUGGAAGAUGAGCUCCUUCGGAAGAAAGACUGUUAAUCAUGCCUAUACUCUGGCAUGUUAAGCCACAGGGAAGAUGUUCAAAAAUAAAAACUGUGUCGAAAGGACGACAUGGCAAGAGAUCCAGAUACCCAAUGUCAUCAAAAAAUCCAGGUAUUGUGGAGUCGAGUGCAAUAAGAUCCUAAGGACUUUUGAAUGCCUCCAAAUCCUAAGGACUUUUGAAGUUACUUACAACACAUUGCAGGAAGAUGGUGGCCACAACUUUCAGCUGAUCUCUUUCCAAGAGGUGCCCUGGGCCAACAAGAACCACCUCACCUAAGAUCACAGCUACCUCCUGGGCCAGUCAAUAUCCAAUGAAUGGCUGAUGCAGGGGAGGACUAUCUAAGAAUUUCAAGGACCAGAAAAAUUUCAUGAUGGAUCAAGCCUAAGGUUCUGUGAAUAAUAGGUGACAUACCAGUAAUGGGAACAUGUGGAUUUGGUUUUCUAAAAACGGGAUGAAGAUGGCUGUCACAAAGCAUAUGAAUCAUGUGAGCUUGCUUGUGUUCUAUGCAAGGUUUUAAGACAUUAUCAAAUAGGUUGCUCACCAGGGAAUAGGUCACUAAGAUCAAAUCUCACCAGCCUAACCACAUUUUCUCUUCUUGAUGGUGACUAAACUGGAAAGGCAGAGAAUUACUUUGCAAUCAAGACAUGUGAGUAUUUGAGUGUAUCAUGAUAAACCUACAGAUAAGAUUUUAAAAUGCCUGUGAAACUGAAGGAAAAUUUCCUAUGAUGUGCUU